AAUUUGGUGACUGAUUUAGGUGAUAGAUUUUUAAUCUAUUUAUGAGGUGAACUCCCAAAUUG
This 62-nucleotide transfer RNA is filed under the name Hermissenda emurai. Its description in RNAcentral is "tRNA-Lys". Lineage: Eukaryota; Metazoa; Mollusca; Gastropoda; Nudibranchia; Glaucidae. The record is from RNAcentral.